UGGGGGUACAAAAACAAAAACCUUUAGGACAAAUUUGUUUGUUUUCAUCUUUACAACAAAAUCCAUUUUUAGAUGGACAAUUCCUCACACAAUCAGAAUCUUGGGUGCAACGAAUUGGUAACCCUCCAGUGUAGGCUUCAGCACUUGGUAACUCAAAGAUUGUGGUGCCUGCAAAUUGAGAUCAAUAAUUCAUGAUUAUAGAGAAAUGAAAUAAAAAGCGAAAUGUGUUAGUAAUUAGUAAAAAAAUAUACAAAGAGAGAGAGAGAUAUUUGGGACAUUGACUAACCAAAUGCAACGAUCAUGAGGACGACCAAGAAAGUUAGUUUAAACGAGACUUUCUCCAUUUGCUGUAAGAAAAAGAUUAUGCAGGAUGUUUCUUUGAGUGGGAA
RNAcentral lists this long non-coding RNA (389 nucleotides) under Citrus x clementina. RNAcentral describes it as "Citrus clementina (C. clementina) long non-coding RNA (CCLE_LNC003314)". The record is from RNAcentral. Lineage: Eukaryota; Viridiplantae; Streptophyta; Magnoliopsida; Sapindales; Rutaceae.